Long non-coding RNA from Gymnogyps californianus (California condor), 1238 nucleotides. RefSeq lists it as uncharacterized. Lineage: Eukaryota; Metazoa; Chordata; Aves; Accipitriformes; Cathartidae. The record is from RefSeq and is a predicted model, not a curated record. The transcript is spliced from 4 exons.
GGGAUGUGUCUGAUUGUAUUCCUGGUAUGUGGUACUACUUGGGAUGGAGUAAUUUAUCAGCAUAAGGUCUUCAGCCAGAUGAUGAGUCUGAAGAUGUGACUGGCUGCCUGAAGCCAAAACGUAGGACUUGGGACCUGUAAGAAAGCAUCUCUCUUCCUACGACCAAUAGCCUCUACCAUAAAUUGGUGUGCAUGACCAUUUCAGGCACUGCAAGCAGCUCAAUCCAGGAUCUUCAGGUGGGAAGAAGCUGGCUAUCUCUAACCUGUGGACAUUUGAAAGUGGGGAAAGUGCCUUAAUCUGCUGUAAUCAGUGCCAGCUUCAUUAGCUCAAACCAUCUUCAGUGGCGCACUCAAAGAACUAUGUGGAGAAGAAAGUUAUUGCACCUGGCUGAUCAUCACAGCCCUCUGCUGCCUCUUCAAAAUUGCCUGCAAAACUUUAUGUGCUUGUGCUCUGUAAUGUCUUUCCACCAAAGUAAACUUAGCAGACACAGGGACUUUAACCUGUUUGACAAACUGGCUGACCUAACCCGAAGUAAAUUAGAAAGCUGUUCUGCUGCAAACUGGAAGCAAGUUUAUUUGCUCCAAAUACACCUGAAAGAGCAGUUCUGUUCACAAUCUGAGAAAUUGUAUUCCUAAGAAAACUUCUUGGAGGACAAAAAUCUAUGUAGAUCAAGCCUUGAUAUCCAGCACAAAGUCUCUGUCAGACUUCUCACAGAAGAAUGUCACUCUGGGUGACGCUGAACAGUAUACUACCUUUGAGGGAGCUUAGCAAGAUCAGAGAGGUUUUGUAAUCACUGUCACAGGCAAUGCUUGACUAUUCGUCACGAGAUAAGGUCUGAGGCACUUCUGGAAAUUAGUUACAAGAUGUCCUGAGUUGAGCAACCAAUAAACAAGACACUUAAGGUAAAUAAAUGCUUCUAAAUACUUGGUGGUUUGUAUCCUCCGGAAAGACUGCAAGGCCUGCCAAAGACUGAGGCUGCUUCAGGAUGCCUGGCAUACACAGCAUAUGUAGUAUUUCCUAAGGAUGAUGCACAGCGGCAACUUGGACUAAUGUUGCUUUUGCCAAAUGCCUAUGUGGUUCGAUUUUGUUAGCUGCAGUCUUUUAAAAAUGCUUUUGAAAUCCUGAUCUACGGGAGUCAGUUAGUCCUUUCAAUUUCUUUCGCAUACAUUAGUCACUAGAUUGUUACUUUAAAUUUCCGAACAGGCGACUUGCAUUCAUAUGCAAACUAAAUUAGGGGU